Molecule: ribosomal RNA, 1391 nt
Filed under: uncultured bacterium
Lineage: Bacteria
Description: bacterial SSU rRNA
Rfam family: Bacterial small subunit ribosomal RNA
Source: RNAcentral
AGAGUUUGAUCCUGGCUCAGGAUGAUCGCUGGCGGCGUGCCUAACACAUGCAAGUCGAGCGAAGCGCCUUACUUGAUUUCUUCGGGAUGAAAGUAUUGUGACUGAGCGGCGGACGGGUGAGUAACGCGUGGAUAACCUGCCUCAUACAGGGGGAUAACAGUUAGAAAUGACUGCUAAUACCGCAUAAGACCACAGCACCGCAUGGUGCAGGGGCAAAAACUCCGGUGGUAUGAGAUGGAUCCGCGUCUGAUUAGCUAGUUGGUAAGGUAACGGCUUACCAAGGCAACGAUCAGUAGCCGACCUGAGAGGGUGACCGGCCACAUUGGGACUGAGACACGGCCCAAACUCCUACGGGAGGCAGCAGUGGGGAAUAUUGCACAAUGGGGGAAACCCUGAUGCAGCGACGCCGCGUGAGCGAUGAAGCAUUUCGGUAUGUAAAGCUCUAUCAGCAGGGAAGAUAAUGACGGUACCUGACUAAGAAGCACCGGCUAAAUACGUGCCAGCAGCCGCGGUAAUACGUAUGGUGCAAGCGUUAUCCGGAUUUACUGGGUGUAAAGGGAGCGUAGACGGAUGGGCAAGUCUGAUGUGAAAACCCGGGGCUCAACCCCGGGACUGCAUUGGAAACUGUUCAUCUAGAGUGCUGGAGAGGUAAGUGGAAUUCCUAGUGUAGCGGUGAAAUGCGUAGAUAUUAGGAGGAACACCAGUGGCGAAGGCGGCUUACUGGACAGUAACUGACGUUGAGGCUCGAAAGCGUGGGGAGCAAACAGAAUUAGAUACCCUGGUAGUCCACGCCGUAAACGAUGACUACUAGGUGUCGGGUGGCAAAGCCAUUCGGUGCCGCAGCAAACGCAUUAAGUACUCCGCCUGGGGAGUACGCACGCAAGUGUGAAACUCAAAGGAAUUGACGGGGACCCGCACAAGUAGCGGAGCAUGUGGUUUAAUUCGAAGCAACGCGAAGAACCUUACCUAGGCUUGACAUCCUUCUGACCGAGGACUAAUCUCCUCUUUCCCUCUGGGGACAGAAGUGACAGGUGGUGCAUGGUUGUCGUCAGCUCGUGUCGUGAGAUGUUGGGUUAAGUCCCGCAACGAGCGCAACCCUUGUCUUUAGUUGCCAUCAUUAAGUUGGGCACUCUAGAGAGACUGCCAGGGAUAACCUGGAGGAAGGUGGGGAUGACGUCAAAUCAUCAUGCCCCUUAUGCCUAGGGCUACACACGUGCUACAAUGGCGGUUACAAAGUGAGGCAAACCCGCGAGGGGGAGCAAACCACAAAAAGGCCGUCCCAGUUCGGACUGUAGUCUGCAACCCGACUACACGAAGCUGGAAUCGCUAGUAAUCGCAAAUCAGAAUGUUGCGGUGAAUACGUUCCCGGGUCUUGCACUCACCGCCCGUCA